GACGAACGCUGGCGGCGUGCUUAACACAUGCAAGUCGAACGGAAAGGCCCUGCAUUUGUGGGGUGCUCGAGUGGCGAACGGGUGAGUAACACGUGAGUAACCUGCCCUUGACUUUGGGAUAACUUCAGGAAACUGGGGCUAAUACCGGAUAGGAGCUCCUGCUGCAUGGUGGGGGUUGGAAAGUUUCGGCGGUUGGGGAUGGACUCGCGGCUUAUCAGCUUGUUGGUGGGGUAGUGGCUUACCAAGGCUUUGACGGGUAGCCGGCCUGAGAGGGUGACCGGCCACAUUGGGACUGAGAUACGGCCCAGACUCCUACGGGAGGCAGCAGUGGGGAAUAUUGCACAAUGGGCGGAAGCCUGAUGCAGCCACGCCGCGUGCGGGAUGACGGCCUUCGGGUCGUAAACCGCUUUCGCCUGUGACGAAGCGUGAGUGACGGUAAUGGGUAAAGAAGCACCGGCUAACUACGUG
This 468-nucleotide ribosomal RNA is filed under the name uncultured bacterium. Its description in RNAcentral is "partial 16S ribosomal RNA". It matches the Rfam family "Bacterial small subunit ribosomal RNA", at positions 28 to 507 of the family's 1533-position model. The record is from RNAcentral.